AGAGGGUGCGAGCGUUAAUCGGAUUUACUGGGCGUAAAGCGUGCAUAGGCGGCUUUUUAAGUCGGAUGUGAAAUCCCCGAGCUUAACUUGGGAAUUGCAUUCGAUACUGGGAAGCUAGAGUAUGGGAGAGGAUGGUAGAAUUCCAGGUGUAGCGGUGAAAUGCGUAGAGAUCUGGAGGAAUACCGAUGGCGAAGGCAGCCAUCUGGCCUAAUACUGACGCUGAGGUACGAAAACAUGGGGAGCAAACAGGAUUAGAUACCCUGGUAGUCCAUGCCGUAAACGAUGUCUACUAGCCGUUGGGGCCUUUGAGGCUUUAGUGGCGCAGCUAACGCGAUUAGUAGACCGCCUGGGGAGUACGGUCGCAAGACUA
RNAcentral lists this ribosomal RNA (370 nucleotides) under uncultured bacterium. Its description in RNAcentral is "bacterial SSU rRNA". It matches the Rfam family "Bacterial small subunit ribosomal RNA", at positions 527 to 896 of the family's 1533-position model. The record is from RNAcentral.